AAUCCAUGCAUGGGACAUCUACGCAAAAGCUCCCUGUAGCGUUCCCAAGCUUCCCACAUGGAUUCAUCAUCUUCCUAUCGAAAAGAAGUAAUAUCAUUACGAAAUU
Molecule: small nucleolar RNA, 106 nt
Organism: Hibiscus syriacus
Lineage: Eukaryota; Viridiplantae; Streptophyta; Magnoliopsida; Malvales; Malvaceae
Source: RefSeq, a predicted model, not a curated record